GGAGGGCCGAUGGUCUUCAUCACAGCGUGGAGCAUCCUCAAAGCCUACUUUAACGACGUGGGGUGCUGGGAUAUAAUCGAGAACACUGAUGUCUUCUGGUGGAUCAUUAAAACCCCGAUUUUGGCGUCAAUCUUGAUGAACUUUAUUCUAUUCAUCUGCAUCAUACGAAUACUUCGCCAGAAAAUCAACUGCCCUGAUAUUGGAAGAAGCGAGUCCAACCAG
Long non-coding RNA from Notothenia coriiceps (black rockcod), 222 nucleotides. RefSeq lists it as uncharacterized. The transcript is spliced from 3 exons. The record is from RefSeq and is a predicted model, not a curated record. Lineage: Eukaryota; Metazoa; Chordata; Actinopteri; Perciformes; Nototheniidae.